This 328-nucleotide long non-coding RNA is filed under the name Mytilus galloprovincialis (Mediterranean mussel). Lineage: Eukaryota; Metazoa; Mollusca; Bivalvia; Mytilida; Mytilidae. The record is from RNAcentral.
AAGAACAGUUGUUGGGGAUAUAAAAUUCCCGUAAAUUAAUUAAUCAGAAAAAUGUAUCAAGUUAAAGAUGACCUGGUAAAAAAAUGCUGUAAACGUAAGCCAGGAAUCAUAAGAUAAACUCGCAACGCACGAAUCUUUUGUUAACAGCCAGUUUCUGUAUCCCAUUCUUCAGUAAGUCGAUGAUUACACAGGGAAGUACUUGUUUCAUUUAAGAAAAUAUGAAUCUCGAUAUGACAUACGAGGCACAUGAUAUAAGAUUUACAAUUUUGAAGUUCCGCUGUUUAAUCAUCAAUUUAAAGUGUUAUAUCCUAAUUUUGACACUCCAAAC